Molecule: ribosomal RNA, 870 nt
Filed under: Lysobacteraceae bacterium
Lineage: Bacteria; Pseudomonadati; Pseudomonadota; Gammaproteobacteria; Lysobacterales; Lysobacteraceae
Description: bacterial SSU rRNA
Rfam family: Bacterial small subunit ribosomal RNA
Source: RNAcentral
GGGUGGCGAGUGGCGGACGGGUGAGGAAUACAUCGGAAUCUACUUUUUCGUGGGGGAUAACGUAGGGAAACUUACGCUAAUACCGCAUACGACCUUCGGGUGAAAGCAGGGGACCUUCGGGCCUUGCGCGAUUAAAUGAGCCGAUGUCGGAUUAGCUAGUUGGCGGGGUAAAGGCCCACCAAGGCGACGAUCCGUAGCUGGUCUGAAAGGAUGAUCAGCCACACUGGAACUGAGACACGGUCCAGACUCCUACGGGAGGCAGCAGUGGGGAAUAUUGGACAAUGGGCGCAAGCCUGAUCCAGCCAUGCCGCGUGGGUGAAGAAGGCCUUCGGGUUGUAAAGCCCUUUUGUUGGGAAAGAAAAGCAGUCGGCUAAACCCGAUUGUUCUGACGGUGCCCAAAGAAUAAGCACCGGCUAACUUCGUGCCAGCAGCCGCGGUAAUACUAAGGGUGCAAGCGUUACUCGGAAUUACUGGGCGUAAAGCGUGCGUACGUGGUGAUUUAAGUCCGUUGUGAAGCCCUGGGCUCACCUGGGAAUUGCAGUGGAUACUGGGUCACUAGAGUGUGGUAGAGGGUAACGGAAUUCCCUGUGUAGCAGUGAAAUGCGUAGAGAUCGGGAGGAAAUCUGUGGCGAAGGCGGCUACCUGGACUACACUGACCUGAGCACGAAACGUGGGGAGCAACAGGAUUAGAACCCUGGUAUCCACGCCCUAACGAUGCGACUGGACUUGGGUGAAUUGGCACGCAUAUCGAGCUAACCGUUAAUUCGCGCCCGGGAGACGGUCCCAGACUGAACUCAAUGAUUGACGGGGCCGGACAACCGUGGAGUUGUGUUUAUUCAUUCACCCGAAAACCUACCUGGCUUGAAUCCC